CGGUUCCAAUGCAAUGUAUUAAAGUACAAGGAGGUAUCAAGAAGGUACAGCUUCAAGGACUUGAAACCUUCACACUCGGCAAGUGGCUGUGCUGGAAAGAUUUGUUUUCCAGGUUUUAUCAGAAAUAAUUUCACACCAUUUCAGUGUUAAAAAUCUGUCAUCCCUGCCAACAUCAUCUGCACAAUGGAAAUGUGUGAACUACCACAAAAGGGGAUUUGAAAACAAAUUCAAGGGGAAAAAAAAUAACACCGUUUCUUUUAUCACCAUCCACACAGUCCUCUACCUCCUCAGUGUAAAAGGUCUGUACACAUUCUUUUGAAUGGCGAAUGAUGUGGACUGAGGUAAAGAAAAGCCUUCAAAUUUCUGUUGUAGACUCAAGAUCUAAUUUGUCCAGACUUGAAGUCUGCCUUAGCACAGAGACUUUAAGGGGAAAAUGUAAAGUGAAAAAGCUUUGACUACCCUUAGAAGAAACAGGGUAGCAAAUAGGGAACUUGAGAGAACCAAAACAACAGUUCAUCUAGUCAACAGGUUACUUCCUGUUUUCUGGGGCUGUAAAGGUAAAAGAAGACAGGUCAAAACCUCCUAAAAGCAGACAGAAAUUCUCAGUUUCUCAAUGCUUAGAGAAACAAAAAGUUGCUUUAAGCACACUGUGAAGUUUUUCUUUCAGUAUUCGUCAAAUUUUGAAAAUAUACAGGGUGUGAGCCUGGAGAUUUGGCUCUGAAGCACAGAACUAGAGUCACAACAGUAUUUCAUUCCAAAGAAAAAGAGGACUCACCAGGCUGUAAACCAGAUGUCUGGGAGAGCCAUACCCUUGAAACAAAGAUGAGCCAGAGACAGACUGUGUAACUUAAAUCCAAACUCAGCUUCAACCCAUCCUCCGUAGUAACACAGCCUUCUUAGAAGGACACCAGUCACUGGACUGGGGACCUCCCUCUAUUUCAGUAUGACCUCAGUAAUUACUAACACCUGCAAAGAUCCUAUUUCCAAGUGCGGUCACAUACUGAGAUUCCAGGUAGACAUGAAUUUGGAGGAAAACUCUUCACCCCAUUCCAGUUGGUACGCCCCAAAGAAAGGGAUUCUGCUUCUUUGCUAGAAUAAAGAAAACUCUGAAAGUCAUCAUCAUACUACUGGCAAGACCAUUCAGGAAGACAGACACCACUCCAAAUAUUUGAAACAGAAUUGAUUUAAUAACAUUGGUUACAGUGGCACUUGGAAGGUUGCAGCAGUCAAACCGGGGAAGAGGAAGUAACGCAGACGUUAGCACAGAAACAGCCCCUCCCACUCCUGCAUGUGAGCAGAGGGAAGUGAUGUUAUCAGAGCCCAGGGAUGCCAGCCACCCAGCAGCAGCUAAAGCAACAGUGAGCCUGCCAGGCACAAAGCGGACCCCUGUGGGGACAGAGCAGCCAGCAGGGGUGGAUCACGGCACAGCUGGAAGCCAACAUCACCUGGGAAAAUCAGCCUGAGAAUGCUGACACCUCUGCCAAGCAAGAGAGAGGCUGGGAACAGAUCGGUGGGCAAACUGGCCAUGGCCAUCCCAGCAAACAUGGAGGGAGGUUAAAAAAAAUCCUCAGAUGUUGCUUAUUAGGAUUUAAGCUUAAAAUUAAAUGUCUUAAGGAGUUA
Camelus dromedarius (Arabian camel) is the source of this 1620-nucleotide long non-coding RNA. RefSeq lists it as uncharacterized. The transcript has 2 exons. The record is from RefSeq and is a predicted model, not a curated record. Lineage: Eukaryota; Metazoa; Chordata; Mammalia; Artiodactyla; Camelidae.